AGCAGCCGCGGUAAUUCCAGCUCCAAUAGCGUAUAUUAAAGUUGUUGCAGUUAAAAAGCUCGUAGUUGAACUUCGGGAUUUGUCCAUUGGUCAGGCUUAACUGUCUGUACUGGUGAGUCGAAUUCCUACCUUCUGAGGAACUUCCAUGCCAUUCACUUGGUGUGUUGGGGAAUCAGGACUGUUACUUUGAAAAAUUGAGUGUUUAAAGCAGGCUAACGUC
This 220-nucleotide ribosomal RNA is filed under the name uncultured Glomeromycotina. Its description in RNAcentral is "partial 18S ribosomal RNA". It matches the Rfam family "Eukaryotic small subunit ribosomal RNA", at positions 569 to 792 of the family's 1831-position model. Lineage: Eukaryota; Fungi; Glomeromycota. The record is from RNAcentral.